CCUACGGGUGACAGCAGUGGGGGAUAUUGCACAAUGGGGGAAACCCUGAUGCAGCGACGCCGCGUGUGGGAAGACGGUCCUCUGGAUUGUAAACCACUGUCCCCAGGGACGAAGAUGACGGUACCUGGGGAGGAAGCUCCGGCUAACUACGUGCCAGCAGCCGCGGUAAUACGUAGGGAGCAAGCGUUGUCCGGAAUUACUGGGUGUAAAGGGAGCGUAGGCGGGAUGGCAAGGUUGGUGUUAAAUCUACCGGAUCAACUGGUAGUCGAACUCAAAACUGCUAUUCUUGAGUGAAGUAGAGGCAGGCGGAAUUCCUAGUGUAGCGGUGAAAUGCGUAGAUAUUAGUAGGAACACCAGUGGCGAAGGCGGCCUGCUGGGCUUUUACUGACGCUGAGGCUCGAAAGUGUGGGGAGCAAACAGGAUUAGAUACCCUUGUAGUC
This 440-nucleotide ribosomal RNA is filed under the name uncultured bacterium. RNAcentral describes it as "partial 16S ribosomal RNA". It matches the Rfam family "Bacterial small subunit ribosomal RNA", at positions 338 to 795 of the family's 1533-position model. The record is from RNAcentral.